Molecule: long non-coding RNA, 561 nt
Organism: Gopherus evgoodei (Goodes thornscrub tortoise)
Lineage: Eukaryota; Metazoa; Chordata; Testudines; Testudinidae
Exons: 3
Source: RefSeq, a predicted model, not a curated record
UGAAACUUACUCUUCGGCUGUUCACCAUUUGUCCCUGCAACUUCCUCGCUCACCGUGAUUACUUACAAUAAUGGGAUCCUCCUGGAAAUGAACAUGAACCUGUUGCUGUUUUAAUCUAUCUGGUCACUCCAAUUGGGAAGAGGUGCCGUCACUCCUGAUAGGUAUGACUAUCCAGGGCCAAAAUUCCACAGCAAGAAGCUGCUGGGCCUGUCCCCAGCUCAGUGGAAAUGUCUGCGCAAGGUCACAUGAUUUCCAUGCCAAGCUAGACCUUCAUUCUACAAGAUGCCCUGGGUUUCAGCAGCAGAAAAGAAACUCUGCAGCAGCUUUAGGGCUAUGCUGUAUGCAACUCCCAAGAGGCUAGAUGUAAGAAACUUCAAGGGCCUCCCUACUUUGUUUGUAAUUGCAAGGUAAGACAACAAAAGUGCCCAAACUUGAAAAUACUCUUGUGUAGAGCUGUAUGUUGUGCCAAAAAAGUUGUGAUCCCAGGAGCUGUCAGUGGCUUGCAAGGUUCACUGAAGAGUAUGGUGAAAGCACAGGGUUAGGAGUUUCUGAUCUGUAUGA